AACUAUCAACUCUAUUGAUUUAGAGCUUGGAUGUGGAGGACAAUUGCUGGAUAUCAAUUCAGCUCCUCUUGAAUAUAUUAGCUCGAGCCUUCUUGUGAAUCAGCUUUGGUGUGAUAAUUGUCUACACCGCUCUGUGAAGCAUUAGUUCGGCUUCUAAUUGUCCCAGCUUGGACAACAUAUUAUGACCUU
RNAcentral lists this ribosomal RNA (189 nucleotides) under Fomitopsis pulvinascens. RNAcentral's name for it is "Flavidoporia pulvinascens internal transcribed spacer 2". The record is from RNAcentral. Lineage: Eukaryota; Fungi; Basidiomycota; Agaricomycetes; Polyporales; Fomitopsidaceae.